Molecule: long non-coding RNA, 540 nt
Organism: Pieris napi
Lineage: Eukaryota; Metazoa; Arthropoda; Insecta; Lepidoptera; Pieridae
Exons: 2
Source: RefSeq, a predicted model, not a curated record
CAUAAAUAUUUUAUUACAGAUUUUAUUACGAUUUUAAUAUAUAUUUUUUUUUCUAGCCAAAGUCUAUAGAAAACCUUCGGGGAUGAGUGUCUUACUUUACAAAGAUAAUACUUACAGUAAACAGAAAUUAAGCAGUAUCCAUGGCCAUCGUUAUAGAUGCUCGAGAUACGCGACCACUAAAUGUAAGGCCUACCUUCAUGCGACGGAGGAUAUGAAACCAAAGUCUAUAAAAAGCCUUCGGGGACGAGUGUCUUACUCUACAAAGAUAAUACUUUCAGUAAACACAGAUUCAGCAGUACCACUGGGCAACGUUAUAGAUGCUCGAGUUACUCGACCACUAAAUGUAAGGCCUACCUUCAUACGACGGAGGAUAUGAAAGUAGGUAAAAAAUGUAUGGAUCAUAACCACGCGCCACCGAAAUUCCUUAUACAUAAUGAUGUAAUUCAUAAGUAUUGAAUAUUAGAUGUAGUACGUGUACAGGUUUUAUUACCUCUAGAAUAAGUUUUUUUGGUCUCAUAAGAAUAAACAAGUUGUAAACAA